Molecule: long non-coding RNA, 1948 nt
Organism: Dreissena polymorpha
Lineage: Eukaryota; Metazoa; Mollusca; Bivalvia; Myida; Dreissenidae
Exons: 3
Source: RefSeq, a predicted model, not a curated record
CGGUCAAAUUUGUAAAAGGAACUUCACAGUAAAUAAACCAAAGCAUCUAAGUCUGAAGAUUGGAUAAUCUGAAUUUUCUCACACUGUGCAAUCAGGUUAAAAUAAACACUUGUGAAAUGAACAAUUUAUUUUCCCCAAAACAUCGCAAUCUCGUACAAGUCAACUAAAUUCUUCUUAGAGGAGGACUCAGCACACCAAGCAGUAUUUGAAAAGGAUUCUUGGAUCUGGCUUUGGCCCAACCAGGAAUCGGGGCUGUAGGGGAGCUGGAGGCUCGAGGCCAUACAAUUAUGCCACACACGGCUACAGCUUUAUUCCAAGGGGUAUGGGCACACAACCCAGUCAAUAUGGACAAUUUGGCUAUCAGCACAACCUGCCAAGAGGGGGCAGAAAACCCGCAGCAGUAGCAACAGCAACAUCAUCUGGCCCAAACUGAAAGAUUUUGAUGUUACUAUUACCACGUCACAAGGAUAUUUUGAAGCUCACACACAACCGCACACAACAUCCCAUGGGGAAGAAGUUGCAGUUGAUUGGAACAGUUGUGUCCGGAAAUCCCUUGCUGAUAGAGGCAUUUCACCGCAGAUUGUGGAAGGCAUCCUCGACAGCUGGCGAUCAGGCACAAGAAAGCAGUAUUCAUCAGCUUGGAAGAAAUGGACUUUGUGGUGUAACAUCCAAUAUAGAGAUUCCAUUUGUCCAACUCAAGAACUAAUUUUAAAAUAUUUGUUUUAUGUGAAGAACAUGAAUAAAUCUUACAGUGUAAUAAGUACACAUAAAUCUGUGAUUAUGGAAACCUUGAAGCUUCUUGAUCCUAUGUUCAAUGGUUUUAGUAUGAUUAUUAUUAGGUUUAUGAAGGGAUUAUACAACACUAUUCCACCAAAACCAAGAUAUAAUUUUACUUGGGAUGUCAGUAAAGUUCUUAAUAUGAUUUCUACAUGGAUGCCUCUUGAUAAGUUGUCUGUAAAAAUGUAAACAUUUAAACUAACAGUUUUAGUUACUUUAUCGACUGCUGCUAGGGUACAGACAUUAAAAUCUCUUUGUGUAGAUCGUUGUGUUUUGGAGGCCGAUAGGGUCUUGUUUAAUAGUGGUGAUAAGUUAAAGCAUUCAAAGCCAGGUAAUGAUCAUAUUUUAAUUUUGAGGGCUUUUGAAGAUCCUCGACUCUAUCCAGUUAGGACUUUGAAAAGUUUUUUGUCUAAAACAAAGGAUUUAAGAAAAUCUAGACAAUUGUUGGUUUCUUAUUCAAAUUUUAAGGCUGUGUCCACCAGUACCAUUGCCAGAUGGCUAAAAUAUGUGUUAGAUCUUGCAGGUAUUGAUACACUUAUAAACAGGCUCAUUCAUUUAGGGUAGCCUCUGUUUCUGCCGCGUUCAUGAAAGGUUGUAGAGUGUCUGACAUAUUAAAAACUGCUGAUUGGUCAUCAUUUAAAAAUUUCAAAAAAUUCUAUCUUAGGGAUAUUGAGCAUUCUGAAAGUGAUCCGGCUCAGUCAUUUAGUACUGCUGUUUAGUCUAGAGAUAAAAAAUAGUAUUAAUUAAAGAUACAUGUUGUUUCCACAAAGUACUAAAAAUGAUCAACAAGUCACAGUUUUAUUUGAUUACACGUUGUAGAUCUCAUACCUGCUGUAAUAUGAAGGUUGUUAUUUGUCUUUUCUGAUGUGCAUCUAUAUUAUUACUUUUAUAAGUGUUUUCAAAUUCCAGUUACAAUUAUAUUUGUUUGAUAAUGUAUUAAUAGAUAUUAUGAAUGCUCUGUUUUGCCUAUGAAUUUCCAUUAGGAAGAUUUUCCCCCCAAAUUAUGUUAUGAAAAAUGUUUCUAAACGUCCGUAAUGGACACAUCUUCAGUCAAUUAUUGAUCAUUUUUGUAAAAUUGUACUUUUUAUCAUGGACAGAUGUAAGGUUUAAUUGGAAGAAAUUAGAAUCUUAUUAGAAAUGGUGUCAAUAUUAUCAUUAUUAUGAUAUGAAA